AACAAUGAUAACAGUAAAAUUUUUAAUCCCUGUAAUGUAAGGAAUGUUAUUUUUGAUUAAGAGAAUUUCAUUCACAUACAAAAUAAGAAAUAUACUUACAGAACUAUUAAUCCAUUUGUGUUUAUAAGAUUCUUCUUUGUUCUCAACAAAGCCAUGCAUUUUGAUCAUUUAUGAAAAUGCAUAUUCCAACUUUGAAAUAUUUAGCAUUACCAUAGGAGAAAAUAUCUCAUUAUAGUCAAUAUCGUAAUGUUGACGAUAUCCUUAGGCAACC
This 271-nucleotide long non-coding RNA is filed under the name Elaeis guineensis (African oil palm). RNAcentral's name for it is "long non-coding RNA (EGUI_LNC060511)". Lineage: Eukaryota; Viridiplantae; Streptophyta; Magnoliopsida; Arecales; Arecaceae. The record is from RNAcentral.